AUCGCUUCUCGGCCUUUUGGCUAAGAUCAAGUGUAGUAUCAAGUGCAUUAUACUCAUAAGUUGUGUAUCUCCU
Molecule: small nuclear RNA, 73 nt
Filed under: Apaloderma vittatum (bar-tailed trogon)
Lineage: Eukaryota; Metazoa; Chordata; Aves; Trogoniformes; Trogonidae
Description: U2 spliceosomal RNA
Rfam family: U2 spliceosomal RNA
About the family: U2 is a small nuclear RNA (snRNA) component of the spliceosome (involved in pre-mRNA splicing). Complementary binding between U2 snRNA (in an area lying towards the 5' end but 3' to hairpin I) and the branchpoint sequence (BPS) of the intron results the bulging out of an unpaired adenosine, on the BPS, which initiates a nucleophilic attack at the intronic 5' splice site, thus starting the first of two transesterification reactions that mediate splicing.
Source: Rfam by way of RNAcentral